GCGGAGGAUCAUUACAGUAGUCACCCAGGUUGCCGCAAGGCCUCCUGGGUAACCUACCACCCUUUGUUUAUUACACUUUGUUGCUUUGGCAAGCCUGCCCUCGGGCUGCUGGCUCCGGCCGGCGAGCGCUUGCCAGAGGACCUAAACUCUGUUUGUCUAUACUGUCUGAGUACUAUAUAAUAGUUAAAACUUUCAACAACGGAUCUCUUGGUUCUGGCAUCGAUGAAGAACGCAGCGAAAUGCGAUAAGUAAUGUGAAUUGCAGAAUUCAGUGAAUCAUCGAAUCUUUGAACGCACAUUGCGCCCCCUGGUAUUCCGGGGGGCAUGCCUGUCCGAGCGUCAUUACAACCCUCAAGCUCAGCUUGGUAUUGGGCCCCGCCGACCCGGCGGGCCCUAAAGUCAGUGGCGGUGCCGUCCGGCUCCGAGCGUAGUAAUUCUUCUCGCUCUGGAGGUCCGGUCGUGUGCUCGCCAGCAACCCCCAAUUUUUUUCAGGUUGACCUCGGAUCAGGUAGGGAUACCCGCUGAACUUAAGCAUAUCAAUAAGCGGAGGAAAAGAAACCAACAGGGAUUGCCCCAGUAACGGCGA
Molecule: ribosomal RNA, 585 nt
Filed under: Geomyces sp. AR-2009f
Lineage: Eukaryota; Fungi; Ascomycota; Leotiomycetes; Thelebolales; Pseudeurotiaceae
Description: eukaryotic LSU rRNA
Rfam family: 5.8S ribosomal RNA (bases 188-341)
Source: RNAcentral